Molecule: small nucleolar RNA, 135 nt
Organism: Prolemur simus (greater bamboo lemur)
Lineage: Eukaryota; Metazoa; Chordata; Mammalia; Primates; Lemuridae
Source: Ensembl
GUGCUGCCUUUGAGCACCUACUGUGCACCUCCACAUGUUGCCAAGGGUCAGGCUGCAGAACCAGACCAUGUACUUGUAUACAACUGGGGCUGCCCCCACACCCAUAGGUGGCUUUUUUAAUUGUGAGCCACAUGG